CAGCAGCCGCGGGAAUACGUAGGUGGCAAGCGUUGUCCGGAAUUAUUGGGCGUAAAGCGCGCGCAGGCGGAUAGGUCAGUCUGUCCUAAAAGUUCGGGGCUUAACCCCGUGAUGGGAUGGAAACUGCCAAUCUAGAGUAUCGGAGAGGAAAGUGGAAUCCCUAGUGUAGCGGUGAAAUGCGUAGAUAUUAGGAAGAACACCAGUGGCGAAGGCGACUUUCUGGACGAAAACUGACGCUGAGGCGCGAAAGCCAGGGGAGCGAACGGGAUUAGAUACCCGAGUAGUCCCUGUCUCUUAUACC
This 301-nucleotide ribosomal RNA is filed under the name uncultured bacterium. Its description in RNAcentral is "partial 16S ribosomal RNA". It matches the Rfam family "Bacterial small subunit ribosomal RNA", at positions 509 to 808 of the family's 1533-position model. The record is from RNAcentral.